Molecule: long non-coding RNA, 3755 nt
Organism: Cyprinus carpio carpio
Lineage: Eukaryota; Metazoa; Chordata; Actinopteri; Cypriniformes; Cyprinidae
Source: Ensembl
CUGAAUGUUUUUAUUAAUGCACUGAUUGGUUAAUAGCUGAGAGCAGACAAAGUGUCAAAGAACCACAGGAAAUGGUGAACAUAAAUGUAAAGAAAAAAAGUUGCUUGUCAGAUUUUCCUAACAAGUAACCAUAUCUUUUUUUUUAAAUUAGCUGAAAAAACCACAACCCGCAUCCAGGAUUUUUUUCACGCAACUUAAAAAAAAAAAGAAGCCCAGAGUUGCGUAUAAUAAGGGGACUUGGCAACAGUGAAGAUGAGACAUGAGAGCAGUGAAGCAGCUCAACAUCCGACACGACAGACUUUGGAGAAAACCUCAUACUUUCAUGUGCCUUGAUAUCAAACCCAUUACAGUCUUGGGUUCAUUAAAAUGCUGUCAGAGUUGUCUGUGAGUUCUCUUAUAAAACAGCGAUAUUUUUCAGUUUAAACUUAUAAAAUCCAAUUAACCCGUUGCUUCUUUAAGUACUAAUUAAAUCACUACCACUACUAUAAUUGUGGAAUUGACAUCACAUCCUCCUGAAGUUAAAAACAAAUAUAUCAUUAACUACAGAGGGUGCCUUCCAGCAUCUCAGUGGAAAGCUGUUUAGCUCGUGUACUUAUGAGAAUAUGAGGGCGUGUCUUCAUGUGACAGGAGCAGUUUUUGUGAAACAUGAGCACACGGAGCUCAUAUGACCUUUGAUCUUCACCGACGUGUGAAGAAUUAAGAGCUCAAUCACAGAAUUCAGUUUCAUAACUGCUUAAUGUUUGUAGCACGUACAUUUUCUCAGUUUACUGGCCAUUAGCAGGUGUGAGUUUUGUGUCUGUCUACAAGAUUCAAAGAGGAAACAGGAUUGUUUUGUUUUUUUCCUUUGUUGAGCUUCUCGACACACGGUCUGUUCCUGGCAUUCAUACUCCUUGACGUAACGCUUAACAAAAGACAUAAAUGCCUUAAAUCUCGCCAAGCCAGUUUGGUGUCCUCUUUUACAACAUUCUACUUUCACAUUGAUGCUAGGAAACAAGAUGUUCAGGAGUUCGGGACAUUCUCUAAUCUAUCCAAAAUAUCCAAGUUACUGACAAACCAGUGAUAAUAAGAGUGAAGGGAAAGCAUUCUGAAGGCCGACAGACAUCAGGAGCCUGAGCACGGCCGUGAUGAAGCUGGAUCUGAGCUGCAGUGUUUGGGUUCUGGCCGUUGGUUUGCUGCCGUUGGUCCGAAUCACUGCCGGAUCCAUUUUGGGCGCAGCUGUUAACAUUGAGCUGUUUGACCAGGACAGAUCGCAGCCGGUCAGGGCUCAUUACAGCGUGGUGUCCAAUUUGCCCUGUCCAGCUCUGAAUGAGCUGUGUAACGGAGGAGACUGCGUGGAUCAGCUCAGCUCCUCUCCUCUGACAGGGGCUUUACCGUCACCCGGCUGGUGUCUUCAUCAGUGGCAGAAGAACAUCCCUGAACACCACACAUCUGCUCUUCAGCUCAGAUCUGACAGAGCCGUGACACUGGAUUCACGAGCAGAUCUGUCUGUCAGAGCCGACACUAACCGUGUUAACCAGCCUCCAUUUGUGGCUCUUCCUCCUCCAGUCAGGUUACAAGCUGCUUGUCCUCAAGAAAUUCCGGUGAAUGUGAUGGAUUUGGAUGGAGAUGAGAUUCGCUGCCGUUAUAAGAAGACUGAACUUGGUGAAUUUCUGCAGCUUAAUGAAGAGACAUGUACACUGCUGUAUGAAGGUAGAGCUGGUUUGGGUCAGUAUUCAGUUCUGAUCAUGGUGGAGGAUUUUCCUUCAUCUGACAGAGAGGCCGAGCCGUUCUCCACUGUACCUCUGCAUCUCCUAAUAACAGUUGAAAGCGGAGCUGGCUGCUCAGUUGUGCCGGAGUUCACAGGCGUCAGUCCAGCAGGAGGCGCUGUAAUCCACGUACUGCCCUUUGAGGAGGUCCAUGUCAACAUUACAGUGGACUCAAGAGUACAGAGUGUGUCUGAAAUUGCUGUGACUGGUCCGCCGGGCCUCUUCAUAUCAUCAAUGGAAAUUGGCCAGAGCUUCUACAGCUCCGUCACGCUGUCCUGGGUCCGAGGUCCGAAUCAGUUCACCCAUCUGCUGUCUGUUUGUUUCGCUGCUAAUACUCCAAGCCUGCAGUCUAACAUCAGGUGCAUAUGGCUUCAGCAAACACAAACAGACCCUUUGCCGACUGGAACAGAGUUGAAAUGUAAGGAGCGCGAGCUUCAGAUGUCUCUAGUGCUGCCCAUUUCCUUCCUGGAGAACCUGCAUUUCUCUGCUCUCCAGCUGAAUGAUCCGACCUGUCCAGUGUUUUAUAACUCGACCCAUGUCACCGCCACCUUCUCUCUGACGGGCUGCGGAACCAAGAGGAUGCAUUUAGGAUCAGAAUUGCUGUACACCAACACUUUACGCAGCAUCAAUCCUAACUCCACUAUAAGCCGCGUGCCCACUCUCAUCCUGCCGCUUGCCUGCCGGAUUCCUGGUCAACAAGCUAAAGGUCCGGCUUUUAAAAUCUCCAUUCCUGAAGAAGUGAAGACGUUUGGUGCCGUGUCCUUCUGGCUGGAGUUCCAUCUUCCCGGAAAGGGUCCUAUGGCCAGCAAGACUCGUCUAUCAGAUUUGCGCAGUUCACCGCCAGUGCGUGCGGCUCGAGAGCUACGCGCUGCAGACCGGGUGGACAUGCUGGACCUGCAUGUGUUCUCCAACUGCUCUUUGGCUCGUGCUGAGCUCAUGGUGGGCCGCUGUGUGGAGUCAGAAACAGAAGACUUUACAAGCACAAGGCCUCUGCUGAACCAGGGCUGUGUAUCUGGAAAUGGAACCUUGGAGAUCCUGACAUCAACUUCAACAGUUCGGAUUUUCCGCUUAUAUCUCGGUUCUCUGGGAAUAAAGGGAGACACGAUGUAUGUUGAGUGUGUAGUGCACCUCUGUAUUACCACAAAACAAACUGACAGAUGUUCUGAUCCCUGUACGGGAACGCCGGACCCGACCAUAGUAGACAGCAUUCUGACCCGCAGCUACACUGUGCGAUCAGGGCCCGUUUCCCUCAUUAAAGUCACAGAAACCAGCACUACAGUGGCUAAACCGCAAUCUGCUACUCCAGUCGCUCAGCCUUCCACCAGCCAGGCCACAACAGCUUCUGCCUCUCGCCCUCUGGAUACAGGUGCAUUCUGGAUAGUUGCUGUGUCAUUGCUUGUGCCCAUGCGUCUCCCUUGAGCUGUUAUGACACAUUAGAGAACUUUGUAGAGCAGUUUAUUUGUGACUAAUCAAAAUGAUCUUUUCUUCUUAACCACCAUUAUGAUGUUUCUUUAUAUAUCCUUGAAUCACGUAAAAAGCACAUAUUGUAGGAAGACAUACUUCAUGCCUUUACAGUUAUUAACAAGUUUUAGGUAGCAUCAAGAAACAUCUACUCCUGCUCUUCUAAUCUUUUAUUUUUAAGCAACUAUAAUAAAUUGAUAAAAUUCAUAAUAAUAGGCUUUUUUCCCGUUUUUUUUUUUUUUUUUUACAAGAAUAAAUGAAAUAAAUCACAGUGUAAAGUAAAAAGUGAAACUUCUGGCAUUUAUUCACCCUCAUGUUUUCCAAACCAGUAUGAAGGAAUAAAGACUGAUGUUUAUCAUAAUGUGAACGCUUCUCUUUUUCCUUAUGAUAUCAUGAAAGCGGACAGUAAGUAACCAGGGUCUGUUGUAAAAAAAAAAAAAAAAAUAUAUAUAUAUAUAUAUAUAUAUAUAUAUAUAUAUAUAUACACAAACCCAAUUCCAAAAAAGUUGAGACACUGUACAAAUUGUGAAUAAAAACAGAAUGCAAUGA